This is a long non-coding RNA of Equus asinus (donkey), 1666 nucleotides long. The record is from Ensembl. NCBI's taxonomy places the organism in Eukaryota, Metazoa, Chordata, Mammalia, Perissodactyla, Equidae.
UGAUCUAAGAUUCCAAAGUAUGGGGGACAGAAUAAUGGUCCUCCAAAGAUGUCUAUAUCCUAAUCCCCAGAGCCUGUGAAUAUGUCAUCUUAAAUGGCAAAAAGGGGCUUUGCAAAUGUGAUUAACUUAAGCAUCUUGAGUUGGGAAGAUUAUCCUCGAUUAUCCAGAUGGGCCCAAUGUAAUCACAAGGGUCCUUAUAAAAGGGAAUAGGGAGGCAGGAGGGUCAAAGAAACAGAUGUUUUGAUAGAAGCAGAAGUCAGAGAGAGAGAGGAAUUUGAAGGUGCUUGUUUUUGGUCUUGAAGAUGGAAGACGGGGCCAUGAGUCAAGAAAUGAAGGUGGUCUCUAGAAGCCAGAAAAGGCAAAGAAACAGAUUCUCCCCGAUAGCCUCCAGAAAGAACACAGCUCUGCCAACAGCUUGAUUUUAGGACUUUCAACCUCCAGAACUAUGCUGCCACCAUGUGGACAAGUCUGAGCUGGAUUGGUGGAGAGUCCUCAGCCAACCCCAACUGCCAGACCAUCCAGCCAAGUUGAGUGAGAGGCCAUAUAACAGAGUUGAGUUGCCAGAUGACAGCAGCCAUACAAAGCCAGGAGAAGAAACAAGUCAACAACCCCUCGAGAACUGUGAGCAAAUAAAAUGAUUAUUUUAAGUCAGUAAGUUUUAGGGUGCUGCAAUAGAGAAAUGGUAUGAGUACUUUUGAAAAAUAUCACUUCCUGCCUACCCUCCAUCCCAUCAGAUCUAAUGAUUAAGAAUUUCUUGGCAAGGAGCUCCACUGAUCUUUGUGUGGUGACUGUUGUUCAUCAACGAGGUUUGGAACUCACUAGCACAGACCUUGGAGACUGAGUCCUACUGGGUCCCCUGGAUCUUGGGAGCCCACCAGGCCUACUCCAUUCGUGGUACCUGGGCCAAGGACACCGUUCCUCCCUCUCUCUCCUAGGGUACAGGUCAGGACUUUUUCCAUUGCAAGUACCAAAAAACCCAACUGAAACUGCUUAAAGAAAAUGUGCAAUAAAAUUUUUUUGCAAUUGUUUAAGCAGUAGGGCUAAAUUCAGGUGUGGUGUGUGUCUGUUGUCUGUCCAUUUCUUGGCUCUCUAGUCCUCGCCGCUGGCUUCAUUCUCAGCCUUCUUCUGUGCAAACAAGAUGGCUACUAGCAGUUCCAGGAUCAGUUCAGUGGAAAAGCUCUUCAGCUGUCCCCACAAAUUCUCACUGUAUUUCAUUGGCUUUGAAUGGGUCCAUCCUUGAACCAAAUCUGGGGCCAGGAAAAUCCAGUGCUCUGAUUGGUCAGCCCUGGCCACCUGGAGCCAGCAGCAGUGUCAUCUGAAGUGCAUUGGAUAGAGAGUUAGGGAGAUGGUGAUUCUCCAGAGGAAAAUUGCUACAGUGGGUUCCAGAAAAGGGAUAAAUGGAUGUUGGGCAGCAAAAACAACAUAGACCUGCUAUAGCUGGACAUUGGAAAUCAGCUCACUUAUGUCGCUUCAAUCCUGAAAAUCCACAUCAGGGUCAUCUGGCUACUGGAAGUCUUUGACCUUUCUAAAUCUCAAAUGCCUAGCUAGACACCAGGCUUUGAAAUGCAUCUCACCAUGUCGCCUGAAUCAUGGAAGGCAAGUUGCCCUCUCCCUCAAAAAUGCCCCUUAUGCUCUAUAAAACAAGUCAUGAAGCACUUCCCAUGGG